This 67-nucleotide non-coding RNA is filed under the name Methanosphaerula. RNAcentral's name for it is "Candidatus Methanosphaerula Fluoride sequence". It matches the Rfam family "Fluoride riboswitch aptamer (crcB RNA motif)". Lineage: Archaea; Methanobacteriati; Methanobacteriota; Methanomicrobia; Methanomicrobiales; Methanoregulaceae. The record is from RNAcentral. RNAcentral also lists the same sequence under 1 other name.
CUUCGUCAGGGUGAUGGGGUUCACCCACAAUAAACCGCGUUUCUUCGCUGAUGACCCCUAUCCAUCA